UUUAAUGCCGCUCAGAAUGAGGCCACCAGUAGUUAGGUGUGAAUUUUCGAGACCUCUGGCACCGUUCUAAGAUGGGUCCUCUCUUCGUAGGCUAAUGCAUUGGCCCUUUUCGACCCGUUUUGGGGCGAAAACAAAAACUGACUCCCGGGCAUAUUUUUUUCGGCCUUUAUGGGCAAAGAACUUUAAUGCCGCUCAGAAUGAGGCCACCCAGUAGUUAGGUGUGAAUUUUCGAGACCUCUGGCACCGUUCUAAGAUGGGUCCUCUCUUUCUAGGCUAAUGCAUUGGCCCUUUUCGACCCGUUUUUGGGCGAAAACAAAAACUGACUCCCGGGCAUAUCUUUUUCGGCCUUGAUGGGCAAAGAACUUUAAUGCCGCUCAGAAUGAGGCCACCCAGUAGUUAGGUGUGAAUUUUCGAGACCUCUGGCACCGUUCUAAGAUGGGUCCUCUCUUCGUAGGCUAAUGCGUUGGCCUUUUU
RNAcentral lists this long non-coding RNA (474 nucleotides) under Cucumis sativus (cucumber). Its description in RNAcentral is "long non-coding RNA (CSAT_LNC000467)". Lineage: Eukaryota; Viridiplantae; Streptophyta; Magnoliopsida; Cucurbitales; Cucurbitaceae. The record is from RNAcentral.